This 500-nucleotide ribosomal RNA is filed under the name uncultured bacterium. RNAcentral describes it as "partial 16S ribosomal RNA". It matches the Rfam family "Bacterial small subunit ribosomal RNA", at positions 29 to 523 of the family's 1533-position model. The record is from RNAcentral.
AUUGAACGCUGGCGGCAUGCCUUACACAUGCAAGUCGAACGGCAGCACGGGAGCAAUCCUGGUGGCGAGUGGCGAACGGGUGAGUAAAGUAUCGGAACGUGCCCAGUCGUGGGGGAUAACGUAGCGAAAGCUACGCUAAUACCGCAUACGAUCUAUGGAUGAAAGCGGGGGAUCGCAAGACCUCGCGCGAUUGGAGCGGCCGAUAUCAGAUUAGGUAGUUGGUGGGGUAAAGGCCCACCAAGCCGACGAUCUGUAGCUGGUCUGAGAGGACGACCAGCCACACUGGGACUGAGACACGGCCCAGACGCCUACGGGAGGCAGCAGUGGGGAAUUUUGGACAAUGGGCGCAAGCCUGAUCCAGCAAUGCCGCGUGCAGGAUGAAGGCCUUCGGGUUGUAAACUGCUUUUGUACGGAACGAAAAGGCUCUCACUAAUACUGGGGGCUCAUGACGGUACCGUAAGAAUAAGCACCGGCUAACUACGUGCCAGCCGCCGCGGUAA